Long non-coding RNA from Engraulis encrasicolus (European anchovy), 439 nucleotides. RefSeq lists it as uncharacterized. Lineage: Eukaryota; Metazoa; Chordata; Actinopteri; Clupeiformes; Engraulidae. The record is from RefSeq and is a predicted model, not a curated record. The transcript is spliced from 3 exons.
CGGCCGUGCUGAGGAUGAAGACAUUCGCAAGAUAUGGAUUAAAAACGUACACCGAAAGGACUUUGCCCCCAAACAAGUAUUCAAUGGUGUGUGGAGUAUACUUCCCUGACGGCAGACCAACGCAGGAACACCCAUAUCCCAUAUUUAAUAUGGGAUAUGAAUAUAGUAAAGCACUAUCAUGUGGAAGACCACCCCCGAAGAGGAGAUGUCUCCAGCCCCCAACAGAGAGACUUGGAUUAAUGUUGAGAGGAUUAUUGUUCAAUACGGUGCAGAAACACUUGGUUCAGUUAUAUGUAUAUAUCAAUCAUCUUUCAAGAAAUCCUUCAUCCCCUCAGCUGUGACCAUACUGAACAAGAUAUGAACUGUCCAGCUGCAGCAUGAAUGUAUUGUGUGGUCGUCUUUUUUUUUUUUGGUCAAGCCUUGUCUAAUGUCUGUGAGA